This 253-nucleotide ribosomal RNA is filed under the name uncultured bacterium. RNAcentral's name for it is "partial 16S ribosomal RNA". It matches the Rfam family "Bacterial small subunit ribosomal RNA", at positions 524 to 776 of the family's 1533-position model. The record is from RNAcentral.
GACGGAGGAUGCAAGCGUUAUCCGGAAUUAUUGGGCGUAAAGCGUACGUAGGCGGCCUAUCAAGUCCGGGGUCAAAUCCCGCAGCUCAACUGCGGAGCGGCCUCGGAAACUGGCAGGCUGGAGGGUGGUAGGGGUAGAGGGAAUUCCCGGUGUAGCGGUGAAAUGCGUAGAUAUCGGGAAGAACACCGGCGGCGAAAGCGCUCUACUGGGCCACACCUGACGCUGAGGUACGAAAGCUAGGGGAGCGAAUGGG